Molecule: unclassified non-coding RNA, 301 nt
Filed under: Hevea brasiliensis (rubber tree)
Lineage: Eukaryota; Viridiplantae; Streptophyta; Magnoliopsida; Malpighiales; Euphorbiaceae
Source: RNAcentral
GGCUGUAGGCCUAGUCUAUCACAAUUUAUUACAUUUAUUUUGUGGGGUUACAAGCACUGUUUUUGUUUCUUUUUCUUUUGUUUUUUGAUCUCUGGUUCCAAGUUUGCAUCCUCUUCUAUGGAAAGCCUUGAAUCGGCAGUGAAGAUGUUGCAGACAAUAACCAUGCGAGAACUAAAUUGGUUGUUUGAUGUUGCCUGUUUUGAGUUGCAUUACUUUGAUAAAAAUUGAUUUAAUGUGUAAUCUGCAAUUAAAUCAAUUUUUAUCCACAUCACAUCUUUCUCCUGUAACAAGUACUGUUAAU